CAGAGGGUGCGAGCGUUGCCCGGAAUCACUGGGCGUAAAGGGCGCGUAGGCGGCCCGAUAAGUAGGGGGUGAAAUCUUGCGGCUCAACCGCAAGGCUGCCUUCUAAACUGUCGGGCUGGAGCACGGUAGAGGCAGAUGGGAUUCCCGGUGUAGCGGUGGAAUGCGUAGAGAUCGGGAAGAACACCAGUGGCGAAGGCGGUCUGCUGGGCCGUUGCUGACGCUGAGGCGCGACAGCGUGGGGAGCAAACAGGAUUAGAUACCCUGGUAGUCCACGCCGUAAACGAUGGGCACUAGGCGUCGGGGGGAGCGACCCUCCCGGUGCCGUCGCUAACGCAGUAAGUGCCCCGCCUGGGGAGUACGGCCGCAAGGCUG
Molecule: ribosomal RNA, 372 nt
Filed under: uncultured organism
Description: bacterial SSU rRNA
Rfam family: Bacterial small subunit ribosomal RNA
Source: RNAcentral